Mercenaria mercenaria is the source of this 3419-nucleotide long non-coding RNA. RefSeq lists it as uncharacterized. The transcript is spliced from 6 exons. Lineage: Eukaryota; Metazoa; Mollusca; Bivalvia; Venerida; Veneridae. The record is from RefSeq and is a predicted model, not a curated record.
CUUUCGCAUUCACCCUCGAUUUGGUGACCGUAAUCUGAGCAGUUUGGGAUUCAACUCGCAGAGUUGAUGUGGCUGUCAUAAAAUAAACAGCAUGUACCAGAAAUGUUAGAAGGAACCUCAGGAAGUGUAUACCCUCGAUAUAAGAUCCAUUUUAAAAUUAUUUGGUUCUUGUGCUAAUCGUUUUUGCAGACUGAAUUGAUAUGGUACACAAAGGCCAUGGCAGAUAUUUUCUAGAUUGAAACUUUUUGCUUGGAGUCGAAAGAUGUCACAGACACAUCAUCUCUGCCACCUAGUCGGGAAUCAGUAUUGGCCAAGAGACCCAUGUAUCAUCGAACUCAGCAUGGAUGACAUCACAUAAAUUCAAUUCAAGAGUUCAACAACUAAACUUAUCAGCUCCAGGGGAACAACAUACAUAGUGACCUGCUGUUUCAAACACAAAUACGGUUUGGACAAAAACAGGUUAAACAGAAAGGGCCCCAAAAAGACUGCAUGCAAGUCAAAUUCAUAUAUCAAGUUGGCGAAGACAAGAAAACUGUUAAGCUGUAUGAAGCAGGGAAGAUGAGCAGCCAUGGAUUAUACGACAGUAAAACUUGAUAUGAAAAUUGUAUGAUUGUUUGCAUGACGAUUGUCCAUCACGGUUCCGCUAGACGAGGGGAUACUAGAUACCUCAACAAUAUGACAAUUAUUUGAAAUCCAACGAGAUAGAAAUCAGACCCCUGUGAUUUCGAUGAUAAACGGAAAGCAUGGGGGCGAAAUAGUCGAUGGAAAAGGAACACUGUAAAUAAUGAACCGAAACCAAGAAAGUAAAAAAAAAACUAGUGAAAGACCGUUUUUGAUGGGGAAGCUGAAACUGGCUUAUGAUAUUGAGUAAAACUUACAGGGCUUUCUUGGCUUGUGAGGUUGCCAUCAGUUGGCUGGUUAAAGUAUAUCCCAAGCCAGUUCCCUCUGCAGGAAGCAGGGGUCACUCCAGUGGCAAAGGAGGAGAUAUUACUAAGAUUAUAUGUCUUUAGUCAAUAUGCAAUGGUGAUCAGGCACACAAGGGUUGAUCGUAAAAGGUUAGGAUCAGAACCAUCACACAAGAGAUAUGCUUCAUAGCAGAUAUAUACAUCACUUGAUGAAAGUAGAACUGCAGAAUUUCUGAAGCUGAUUGAGCAUGUGGUAGGCAUAUGCAGUAAGGCAGGUGUCUCAAGCCUACAGAGCAACAGAAUGACGAGUGUAACCCGACCUGCAAUAUAUUGGUUGUGACAAGCGAGAGUGAAUAAAAACUUUACAGCCAGCAACCAGGAGUCUGUGGGACGGUGAGUAGGAGUCUAGAAGAUGAGGUGAUGGUGUUUGAGGCCGGUUGUUGAACUUGUAAUGUCAUCUUUUCUGUCACCAAGUUGUUGCUGAUGCAGACUAUGGCUAAAGUGUUUCUUUUUUUGUUGCAAUUAAUGUCAGGCCAUAUUUUUGUUUUGAAAGACACCAAAUGUAUUUGGACAGAAAAAAGCUUGUAAAUUUUGCUCAUUAAACAAUUUAGAGAGUAAUGUGUGUGGUGGCCUUGUCUGUUCUUUUUUAUAUUAACUAGAAAUUAUUGUAAAGUUUUGAUUUUUGUAGGACCCACUUGCAAUGAAUUUGACAUAUUUAUCAAAAUAGCUGUUAGCUGUAUGUGUAUUAGUGUAGUCUUGAAGGUCAAGGUCACUUUUUUUAUGCCCCCGAAGGGAGGCAUAUAGUUUUUGAACCGUCUGUCAGUCUGUCCGCAAUUUUCAUGUCCGGUCCAUAUCUUUGUCAUCCAUGGAUAGAUUUUCAAAUAACUUGGCAUGAAUGUGUACCACAGUAAGACGACGUGUCGCGCUCAAGACCAGGUCCGUAGCUCAAAGGUCAAGGUCACACUUAGACGUUAAAGGUCAUUUUUCAUGAUAGUGCAUUGAUGGGUGUGUCCGGUCCAUAUCUUUGUCAUCCAUGGAUGGAUUUUCAAGUAACUACGCAUAAAUGUAUGGCACAGUAAGACGACUUGUCGCACGCAAGACCCAGGUCUGUAGCUCAAAGGUCAAGGUCACACUUAGACAUUAAAGGUCAUAUUUAAUGAUAGUGCAUUGAUGGGCGUGUCCGGUCCAUAUCUUUGUCAUUCAUGCAUGGAUUUUAAAAUUAUUGGGCAUGAAUGUGUACCACAGUAAGACGACAUGUCGCACGCAAGACCCAGGUCCGUAGCUCAAAAGUCAAGGUCACACUUAGGCGUUAAAGGUCAUAUUUCAUGAUAGUGCAAUGAUGGGCAAGGCCGGUCCAUAUCUUUGUCAUUCAUGCAUGGAUUUUAAAAUAACUACGCUUGAAUGUGUGGCACAGUAAGACGACGUGUCGCGCGCAAGACCCAGGUCCGUAGGUCAAAGGUUCUAAACUCUAACAUCGGCCAUAACUAUUCAUUCAAAGUGCCAUUGGGGGCAUGUGUCAUCCUAUGGAGACAGCUCUUGUUUAGUUCAAGGUCUUGCUAGAUCUUGUCCUAAUGGUAACUUCAUUAUGCAUGGAGCAAGGCAGAAGUAUUUUCCACAAGAUGGCUGCACUAUAAGACAUUUUCCCUAUUUUAAUGGACAUACUCACACCAAAUAGAAUAUCUAGUAUUAUAUUAAAGUUUGAUGAAAGCAAAAAACAGUGAGAGAUGUCGGUAACAAGAUUUAUAUUAGCUGCUGCUUAUGUCUGCUUCUAAUGUCAUUUGCCGCAGUAGCCUAGUGAUAGAGUGUCGGCUUCAAGUGCUGGAGGUCUUGGGUUCGCUCCCUUGCUGGGUCAUAAUUAAGGUAUGAAAAACUGUAGUCAUAGCUUCCUUGUUUGGCACUCGGCAUUAAGAGGAUAGUACUAUAACAUUCGUUUAUACGACUGAAAAAUUGUUGAAAAAGACUCUUAACCCAAAAACUCACACUCAGAUGCUUCUAAUGCUUUUUCCAUUAAAAAUGUUAAAGUUGUAUAUUUGUAUCUGUGAUUUACGGUGUUCCUUUUGGACCAUUAAGAUGUUUUACCUUGAAAGUCGAAGUCACAAAAAUAUGAUGAUGGAUGUCGAAACCACGAUGGUAAUAGUUGAAAUCACUAUGGUGAAAAACUUGAAACUACAAUGGUGAAAGUUGAAAUCACGAAACCAUGAUUACGAUAACAUGAAGCCACUUCAGCAUUGAACUUUCGACUUUCUACUUUCAUCAUCGUAGUUUUGACCUUCAUCAUCAUGCUUUCAACUUUCGAUGUUGAAAGUCAAAACCAUGAUGAUGAAAGUCGUAACUAAGAUGUUGAAAGUCGAAAGCAUGAUGAUGAAACUACGAUGGUGAAAAUGCAAAAUGAUAUUGCAUUUUAGUUUUGACUUUCACCAUAAUAUUUUCGACUUUCAUAAUCAUAGUUUUGUGAUUUUGACUUUCUAGAUAGAGGGUUCGGAAAUAAAAAUAUUGAUGGUCCAAACGGAACAC